Molecule: non-coding RNA, 207 nt
Organism: Pelobates cultripes (western spadefoot toad)
Lineage: Eukaryota; Metazoa; Chordata; Amphibia; Anura; Pelobatidae
Source: the annotation of a GenBank genome assembly
CUAUGACAUAGCCUUGUACUGUCUGGAGAACCCAGGUGACUUUGGUAGUCGUCUCCCAAUUCUGUAAAACAGAGACAGGUUGCCGGUCAUAAUAUUGGAAACAGUUAUGUAGGUUGACACACUAGUAGAUAAAGCGGAUGGGUUCCUCUGUGUAGUAGAUGGGAGAAAUAUGAGGACUGUGUAUACGAUCUGGAACCUGUCGCCCAG